UAUCUUUGGGUCAAUAUAUCUCUUUACAGUUUCUUAAAAGUUGAACAAAGCUGGUUGAGUUUUGCACUGGUUUGGUGCUAUGGAUUAUGAUAGAGGAGACACGGGGAGCCAAAAUGCAGGACAAUGCGAAAAGAAUGGAAACUUUACAGGGAGGGUUUGUCUGAAUGUUGGGUGUCAAAAUCAUCGAGCAAAUGAAUUGCUCCAGGUUGGUUCUGAGACCUGUGUUGUGUGCAGAAUGCCCUGAUCCAAGUGGUGAGCCCUAUGAAGGGGAGGAGGGAGACUGGAGCUUAAGGGGGGCUGCUGCAAGGCUGCAUCUCUUCCAGCUGACAGCCACUUCUAGCUGUGUUUGUCACAAUGCCAGUCACAAAUCUCCCAGAAAUUCUGGAAGUGCCCAUGCAACAACUUUGCCCUCCUGUCUGAGUUACACAGUCUUAAUGUGUUGUUUCAUGAUUGGUAUCUUCUGGAGUAUCUCAUUCGUCAUUCUUGAGGUAAACAAAUUAUUAGGAGGUGUAUUACAGCAGUAAUGCUUUUUGCAAAGCUUGGAGCAUUACUGAUUUAGCUGUGGCAGAGACAUUCAGUGAAAAUCACUGCGAGGCUGUGCCUUUUCUUAGAGCAAGAAAUCACUCAGCUGACUCUAUUAUAAAACAUUCAAUAGUUAUUAAGUGGUUUUCCAGUAAUUUUUCAGUGCUUAGCAGAAAACAUUAUCAUAACUGAUAUACACUAAUUUUCUGUUGUUUAUAUGUGUAUGUAGUGUAACCUCCAUUAAAAUGCCAUUACAUUUGUGGAAAAGAUUCUGUAGAAAUGACCUGGUGGUCUUCCAAAUUUAUUCUUUCAGUGACUCCGGAUCAAAUUUGCCUACUUUAAACAAUACAUUUUAAAAUUGACAGUGUUGUGGAUUCCACCUGGGAUCAAGUUGUGUUAUUUCUGUGUCGCACUAAUGAUGAAGAUGAUUUAAUUACUUAGCUGACAAUGUUAUUAAUGAUGAGCAUGAGAGAAGAGAGUUGGGCCUUGGUGCCUUAGUCCCAUUUCAGGACUUGUCGUAACUGUAGGAUGUUAACAGAGGGAAAAUCUAUGUUGGUUAGUCAGGUAAGAAGAUACAUCUGGAUGACAAAGACCAUGUUUAGUUGAAGGUGCCAUAAUGAAGUUUUUCUAAUCAUUGUGAUAUUUUAAGGCUAACGAGUGUUUAGCAUCUUAAAUUACUAAAAAGCUCACUUCAUUGGUGAUUGUCUUCUGUUUUCUUCAACUUUGACUCUGGAGAACUUCUGUAAGAGUAACCUGAAACCAUAAAACCCAUUGCAGAUUUUUUUUUGUGUUACUGUUGGACGUUGCCCAGGAUCCACCAGAAUGUGCUUCACUCAUCACUGCUCUAUCAGCCCUCUUCUUGUUUCCAUCAGUCCAGAAUUCAUUUACUGUCCAUUUUGUGGCUUCCCCAGAAGUAAUAGGUCUGUCUGCAUUCAAAUAUUUUGCAUAUACAGCUUUGUCAGCUAAGAGCACAGGAAGAGAAGAAAAAUACCACUAAUUAAGCCAGCAGUUCUGGUGAAUGUUCCUAUACCGGGAAAAGCUCUAUUGAGAGAUACAACUUAAGUCACUUGGAUAGCUGAUAUAAACAUUGCUAGCAAAAAAACUUCCUGCCAAUAGACACCACGUUUCCACUAGGGGAGUUUGUAGUGCGAGCUACAUCAGUGAAUACUUCGUCCUACAGAGAAGGCCCUUUUCAGAAGGUGAAAGUACUGCGAUGCUAAAAGCUUGGGUUCAUCUGAGCACCUGAGGCUGGUGUUUUGCUGUGGGGAGAGCGGUGGCUCUGAAAAAUCACUGUGGGGAUAGGGACAAAAUGUGGUUAUAUUCUGGUCUGCUUUGUGGUCCACCAUAACCCAUCUUGGUGACCUUCCUGCUGGUGCUGCUAUAUGUUUGUUUGAUGCAAAACUUGAAACCUGGCAGUCAAAUGCACGGUGGGUCAGAGGUAAUAGUCUUCCCACAGAGCACACAGCAGAACCAGGUAAAGUGGCAUUGGGCUUCAUGUCCCCACUCUUCAGUCAGGCAGCAAUGGGUGUCAUCAGUUGUUUGUACAAACAGAAAAAAUUCUCAUCAGAAAUAAUUACCUUCUCUCUGUCCUGGGACAGUCUGGAGUUUCUCAUUAUUGCUGUUACUAUACUGUGAACUGGAUGGCAGUAAGUGGAGUGAGGCCACACUAGAAACAAGAAUGCAUGGCCUUCAUUUUUAAAAACGCCAGUGAUCCAAACAAAGUGGGAAUAAGGUGCAGAAGAAUGAAAGCUCCCAUUCACUGGAGCUUUUGUAGCUUUACGAGGGAAAUGUGUCUUAACGUGAGCUUCAUUUGAGGGGAAUGCACACAUGGAUUAAGCUAUUAAUUAUAAUCAAAUUAAAGGAAAAUGUUAUUAGAUGUUUUAAACAAUCCCUGGCAGGGCUACUGCUAUCACAGUUAAUGUCCUGAAUGAAAAAAGAAGUGAAACCGUAGUUUUCACUCUUUAUCUGCUUUUGUGUGUAUGUGUUUUACUCAGCUUAGUGUAUGAAUUUACUAGCCUUGUCUGGUUCACUUUCCUUUAUGGGCAGUGCAAUGUUCUGGUUUUCAUACACUAUAAAAGUAGUGAUGCCACAAAAUUACAAGGGAAAUGCUUCGGUCCCUCAGUAUAGAUAUAAUUAAAUCCAACUAAACUAUUUUCAUUGCCUGAGAUGAGGAAUCUUAAAUAAAAUAAACAAGCCACUCAGCUAAUAACAUAAAGAUCAUUUUUAGCGCCAUAUUAUCAGACCAUUGAUGAGAAUUUUCAGUUAUGUAUUAUGUUAUGUAAAUUCAAACCUUUUCUUUAACAAAGCAUACAGUCAUUUUCGUGUGAUAUAAUGUCUACAACCAACUGUACCUAACAGGACUGUAAUCCUGUUGAGCUGCUGUAAUGGCACGAACCGCAAAAGCAAAACCUGAGUGGUUUAUCAAUGUCAGCAAACUCCCAGAUGGAAUUACAGUCUUAUGCACACUGUUCAGUUGUAUGCUAUUCAUUAUAACAUAUGACAAAAAUUAUGCUUCUAUUAAAAAUACACAGAUGAGAAUAUGUGUUGUUGAAGGGGGCUUGUUUAAACAGCAGAAAUAAUCCGCUGGUGCAAAGCAGAAUCAUUUUCAGUGCAGGAUGUGGCCUGCUGCACAGUACCUUUUUGGGCAUAUUUACAGGACGAUGGGGAUUGAUUUGAACUCUGAAAGAAAUAUAGUACUUCAGGCUCAGUAGCAUGUUUCUGGUUAUGAUUCUUCAGCUGCAAUUUUCUUCUGUUAUCUGCCUCAGGGAAAUCUGGCCAUCUCUGAAGAAAGUACGAGCUGGAGCACAGCACUGGGAUUCAUGGGAAUCACCAGCCAGGGAAGUCCAUUUGGGAUAUGUCAGGACUUCCUAACAGCGAGGCAACACUUGUAGGAUGUAUUAAGGAUCAUUAUUUUGUAAAAAUUCAAAAGUUCUAUUUGCUAUCCAUGCAGUCAUGUUUGUCAUCUUUUAAUAAAAGCCCCGGCGUGAAGUUCCUGACUUGAAAUUACAACUGGAGAGUGGAGUGAUGAGAGAAGCGUGGAGUUUAACUGUAGAAAGUAAAGGUUUUUUCUGAGCUCAGGAACCCCCACAGUAUUUCAAGGUAUCUUCAGUGCCUCUAACACCAGAGGGUUCAUUCUUCUGUAACUGAAGUAAAUGGGCUUGCCAGCAUUUCUGUUAUUUCCAUGCUCAGUGGCUUCCCAAGUAAGCAGGAGGGCUGGCAGCGGCAGCUUAAGCCUCUGACCCCAUGGUGGGGGUCAGCCAUGCUCCAGGACUGUAGGAGAGAUGUCAGCUUUGUGCAUGGCUAUGAGGGUCCCAUAAUUCACUCUAGGGAUGCUAUGAGAUGGGCUCUUCAGUGCCUGGGUUAAAUUCCCGAGUGAUAGGUGAUGGCAGCUGGGCAGAGUCAGCUCCGAUGUGGGGGACAAAUUUCAGCUGCUGCCAAAUGGACAGCAUGGAAACAAGGAUCGUUUGCAAGACAGCAAGAGAUUUUAUGGGCAAAAACUAGGAAAUUAGCUUCAGCUGGGUUGAAAUACUGCCAUUUGGUGAAUCUUGGGUUUUCUUUGUUUUACUAAAGCAGAUUUUGGAGAUGUCAUCCCAGUGGCUCCUGAGAGCUUGUCUUUCACACAUUUUCCUCAUGUAAAUGCCCAAAUUGAAAGCUUUGUUUCAGGCACGCUUAUGGCUAAUGGGACCAAGCACAAAAACAUAAAACUACAAAUGAAAUUUAAAACAGAAUCUGAAUUCGCAGAACGUUACCUGUUUUCCAAGACAAACGCCAGGAGCCUAAAAACAUGAAUGGAAUAGACACAGCCGCCUGCCCUGCUCCCUUCCAGAGCCACUCCGUUCUGCUCCUGUCUGCCUGCAGUGGGGAAUAUGGAUGCUGCCCAAAUGUAUCCGCAUGGUUCCAAUUAAGGGGAGGAAUGUUUAAUGUAAAACUCAACUUGAUGAAAAUAACUGAAGUUUCUGACAAACCAAUAAAUUGGAGUCUAGAAAGCUCUGCGUAUACAGUACAGUCAGGGAGGGGCAACACCCGCUGGGUCAUCAAUUUUGGUGAAGACUUCCUGUUCGUUUAUACUAAAAUAAUACUAGGCACUAGCACAUCAACAGUCGUCGAGAGUUCCCACUCAGAAGACUCAGAUGUUUGCUGUUGGAGAUGUGCUCAUGCAGACAGCUUUCUGUAGGACCUCAGGAGGAUGCGGGAUAGGCUGCAGGAAGGCUGCCACCCAUCCAGGUCUGCUCCUCCCGGCCUGUUGCCUACUGGCAGGUCCAACCUUGAGGUUGUGUUUAAGCUCAAGGUCAGUCCAUAAACCAGAUGGUAUUUCUUACCGCAUGGGGACAGCAGCUAGAAGAUAAUGCAGAAAGAAAACAGACCGUGUUUGUACUUUCUAUUGUUGAAAUACUAUCAACAAGGCUUGUGUAGGGCCUGCUGGCUACAGGAAGUGCAGUGGGAAGUGCAAGGACAGAAGGUCCUGUGACAUUGAACGUGGGAGAGAAUUUUGUGUCCUGUGGACCAAGAAGACAAUGACAGACCUGUGGUCUUGGUUUUUCAGUGGUGAAAAGCCAGAACAUCUCAAGGAUAGACCCACAGAAGAAGGUUUAACACUGAUGUUUACAUGGUCCUCAGGGUACAGAUGUUCUGCUGGGUAUUUCACUCUGACAAGCAGGCAGCAUUUUGUUCUCAUCAGGAUUUCCAAAUGUUUGGGGUAUUGGAGCAGAAGAAACUGUAUCUUUCUAGAGAUUAUUUUUAUGGAAUGUAUUAUGAAAAGAGGUCCUUAGGAAAUAGCAAGUCACCAGAAUGCUUAUUAAAAUGACCUUAAGGUCAGAUUCUGCCACUGUUAAUCACAAUAGUUGUUCCUUACCCUGUGAGCUUUCCCAUUGGAUUCAGUGGGAUUACUCAAGGAAUUUGGAUACUACCUGAUGGGACCAAAGUGGCAGCAAGACUAGCCUUAAUAAUUGUAGCAGCUGUAACACAACAUGCCUUUGUUUUUACCUUACCUUUUAGCUAGUUAAAAAUACGUUGCAUGACAUUUGUUUUCUUUUGAGGAUUCCCUCUUCAAAAAGAUGAAACUUUGUGUAGCAAAUGUAUUCUGUCAUUUUUGUCAUCAGUACUUUAAUAUAUGUAUUUAUUUAUAUUUAUUUAUAUGUAUUUAUUUAUUAGUAUUUUUAUUGUCAUAGUGAAGUCAUCUUUGCUAAGAUACACUUCAGGUUUUGUAUCUCUCUCUCUCUUUUUUAAA
Gallus gallus (chicken) is the source of this 5749-nucleotide long non-coding RNA. RefSeq lists it as uncharacterized. The transcript is spliced from 8 exons. Lineage: Eukaryota; Metazoa; Chordata; Aves; Galliformes; Phasianidae. The record is from RefSeq and is a predicted model, not a curated record.